RNAcentral lists this long non-coding RNA (2235 nucleotides) under Capra hircus (goat). RNAcentral describes it as "lncRNA (ENSCHIG00010012179.1)". Lineage: Eukaryota; Metazoa; Chordata; Mammalia; Artiodactyla; Bovidae. The record is from RNAcentral.
UAGGAGAAGGAAAUGGCAACCCACUCCAGUAUUCUUGUCUGGAGAAUCCCUGGUAGGCUACAGAGAAGCCUGGUAGGCUAUAGUCCAUGGGGUCGCAAAGAAGUGACUCAGCACGCACAUACUACUGUUCAUAUUACAACUUUAACUACGAGUUGCGGUCAGUGAUUCUUAGACAUAGUAGCUUUAUAGUGGAAGAUUUCUUUGACGGUAAAAUCAUAGUGCUUAUUUUAAAGGAUUGGAUGAAAUCUGAGGACUGUCUUUAUUUCUCAAUAGUUUUCUCAACUAUUAAAUGGAAAUACUACCUACCUCAUAGACUUUGGAAGACCUCAUAAGAAUUUGAAAAAGUAAUAUUAGGUACUGGGAACAGUGUCUGACACAUUAAGUACUCAGUACAUAUUAAGAUAUUGUUACUUAUCUACUGCCUGUGAAUAUCUCUACCUUAAACCUUAGGAUAACAGACAAGCUUUCUUGCAGGGAGGAAUAAAACUACGUUUGUUCUCUGAACAAACAAAAAGAGGUAUUGCUUCUAAGCAUAUUUUUCUUAGCAGCUUGCAUAUAGCAAUAGCUGUUUUGAAGCACAUACUCAAGGUCUGUGCUUGUUUCAAAGAAAGCUCACCAUGUGUUGGGAGUUUGGCAGAUGACUCAGUUCUGAUCAUUUUAUGUCCACUUUCUCUCAUUUUUCUUCUGAAAUGCACAAGCAGCACGGCAUCGUUUUCUCUCUUCUUCUCCAUCUUCUCUUCCCCCUCUACGCCCCCUACCCGUCUUUCCCUUCAACACGUGCACACAAGCACACACGUUAGUUUUCUCUUAUUUAUUUAUUUUUUUUAAUCCCCAGGGGACUCACGGAACAGUCUGUGUGCAGCUGCUGUGUUUUCCACUUGUUAAAUUGGCAGUUACCUACUGCGUAGAGUUGCUAGGAGAAGGUGAAUCAGCAUGAUUGGAGCAUCAUCGGUGUACACAUUUUUUUCAAUAACAACCUGUGGAGCUCUGUGGCCUGCCUUCUGUGUGGCUCUUAUGUUAUUUUCCUCAUUGUUGUCACUAAUAUUUGUUGAAUUUAUCAUUAGAGCCUUGUAUGUUUUUAACUCUUUAAAUUCCAGAUCAACUGAGAGACAAAAACCUUGGCAUUUAAACCAGCCACUUUUUUCUCAGGGUGGUGCUGCGGAUACUGGUUCCUACCAUCUGUUUUCUUAUUACAUCCAGCCUUCCUUCCAUUGGUAGAGAGGAAUUCAGCUUCUUCUGGAGUAUCAUCAUGGGGUCUACUGCUACNNNNNNNGAAGAAGUGGAAAACACUACUUUUAAGUAUCUCAUAGGAGAACAGACUGAAAAAAUGUGGCAACGCCUGAAAGGAAUGUGAGUAAGCUCUUUGCUUGGUUCUGUGUUUUUAUCCACCUCUCUGAUAAAAAAUUUUGAGUAUUAACAUGUUGAAUUAUUGGCACUCUCUGAUUGUGCAUUAGUGGUUUCUUUAGAAAGAUUUUCUUUUUAAAAAAUGUGUCAGUCUCAGCUAACAACUUGCUUGAAGGGUGAAUAGUUUUUUGUGUAGGUAUAUUUUAUGUAAAGUAAGGUAACUCCCUGAGAAUUCACUUCAUUGUUAGACUGCAUGGCUUCUUUUAUACAUUCUGUAUGUGUUACUUAGAUACGUGGCUUAGAUAUGCAGAAAAGUAAUUAGAAAAGCUGCUUGCCAGGGUACUUGCGGAAAUAAAAUUUCUCUAAGAUAAAAAGAGAGAUUGCUAUUAGCACUUAUUUCUUUGUGGUUAGAUUUUGAAGAAAAAGGACAGGAUUAAUAUGAUAAUAGAUCAUUAUAUUCCAUUGUGCUUAUUCAUUAUGACUUAAUUAAUAAUACAUUUUAAGGAGAAAAAGUUUAUGUUGUAAAAUUACUAGCAGCACACCAAACUUGCUUGAGAGUUUUGGCUUAAAUCAACCAACUCACUUCUGAGAGUACAGAAUAGCUCAUAGUAUAAAAUAGACCUUUGUAAGAUGGGUCAAGAAGUGUGCUUAUGUCUGCAUGAAAUGUAAGUACCAGAGUCAAACUUUAAUUGCAGUGCUAUUUACCUUGCUUUUUAAACAGCAUCUAGGCUUUUUUUUCAAUGUAUGUAAAUUAUUUCUGCUUAGUGUUCCAGCACACUAUGUUUAUAUGCUUUAUUUUCAUUAUGUCAUAAUGGUAAAAUCAGAUUUAAUAUUUGGAUAAAAAUAUGAAAUAUGAAUAUUUACAGGCCAUUGCAAUUCCUUAUCAUAUUU